UACGGAAGAUGCGAGCGUUAUCCGGAUUUAUUGGGUUUAAAGGGAGCGUAGGCGGGUUUUUAAGUCAGCUGUGAAAGUUUGAGGCUCAACCUUAAAAUUGCAGUUGAUACUGGAGACCUUGAGUGCGGUAAAGGUAGGCGGAAUUCGUGGUGUAGCGGUGAAAUGCUUAGAUAUCACGAAGAACUCCGAUUGCGAAGGCAGCUUACUGGGCCGUAACUGACGCUGAUGCUCGAAAGUGCGGGUAUCAAACAGG
This 253-nucleotide non-coding RNA is filed under the name uncultured Bacteroides sp. RNAcentral describes it as "partial 16S ribosomal RNA". It matches the Rfam family "Bacterial small subunit ribosomal RNA", at positions 524 to 776 of the family's 1533-position model. Lineage: Bacteria; Pseudomonadati; Bacteroidota; Bacteroidia; Bacteroidales; Bacteroidaceae. The record is from RNAcentral. RNAcentral also lists the same sequence under 1 other name.